AUACGGAGGGGGUUAGCGUUGUUCGGAAUUACUGGGCGUAAAGCGCACGUAGGCGGACUGGAAAGUUGGGGGUGAAAUCCCGGGGCUCAACCCCGGAACUGCCUCCAAAACUUCCAAUCUAGAGAUCGAGAGAGGUGAGUGGAAUUCCAAGUGUAGAGGUGAAAUUCGUAGAUAUUGGGAGGAACACCAGUGGCGAAGGCGGCUCACUGGCUCGAUACUGACGCUGAGGUGCGAAAGCGUGGGGAGCAAACAGGAUUAGAUACCCUAGUAGUCC
Molecule: ribosomal RNA, 274 nt
Filed under: uncultured bacterium
Lineage: Bacteria
Description: partial 16S ribosomal RNA
Rfam family: Bacterial small subunit ribosomal RNA
Source: RNAcentral